This is a long non-coding RNA of Callorhinchus milii (elephant shark), 1875 nucleotides long. RefSeq lists it as uncharacterized. The transcript has 2 exons. The record is from RefSeq and is a predicted model, not a curated record. NCBI's taxonomy places the organism in Eukaryota, Metazoa, Chordata, Chondrichthyes, Chimaeriformes, Callorhinchidae.
UCCAGCCUCGGCCUCCGCUCGCGACCGCGCCUGAGCCUUGGCGCGGCGACGCCUACGCAGGCUGUCAGGUCGCUUGGGGAAGCAGAAGCAGCCGUCGCCCGAGCUCUUCGACGGGUCGGAUGGUGGCGGAGGCUCACUCCGCCUAACGGCCGCCCGGGAUUGAGAUGGAUACCUCGGGUCGCGGCCGCCGCUACAGCCCCUGACAAGAGAGUGGAAGAUGUAAGAGAGGAAGAAGCACGUUAGGUUGGAGCGGGUGAGAGCUUGAACGACUCAUCAGGUCGUCGUUGCUGCUCGUGUGCUGCGAGGAUACUUACCGAAGGCAAACAUGUGGACCAAACAACAACAGAUUGGGAGCCUUUCAAUUGUGUUUGUGUGUGUGUGUGUGUGAGAGCUAUUUAUUUAAAACCACUGACCCAACCAUUGCUUGUUACUGUUUUGGUAUCCGAGCGCCUACUGCGAGUUUUCUCGCCGCACCACUUCUGUUUACCGAACAGUAAGUCGAAACCCGGUCGUUGACAGUCGAUCGGCGGUCGCUUUCCGAGGGUAAUAAACCCCACCAAAUGAACCAAUACCUUUGGUCGUUCGUGGAACACUAAUUGGCUGCCACAUUUCGUCCACAAAAUAUGCAGUCAAUCCACUUCACAGUAUACUCCGUGAAGCGCUUUUGGACGUCUAAACAACUUAAUAAGGCGCGAUAUCAAAUGCAAGGAUUAUGAUUAUUAUUUAUGAAUACUUAAAUCUGAAAAACACAACGGCCUUUAAAUCUGGACCAUACAGAUUACAUCUCAGUGGUUGGCAAGUAUUUUUUUAAACCAGAUGUUCAAUUGUGUUAGGCUGCAUUCUGAAUGCCUAUCUCAAAUUACCAUUGUUUUAGUGCCCAUCCCAAGAUUGGUGGUAUAUUACCCUGUGGAAAUUGCAUUUGCGGUCCUGUUGGCUGGUAUAUUUCUUCCACCACAAAUGGGUCAUGAUCAAAUUAUGCAUUGAAUUGCUAUAAAUAAUAGCAUAAUUUACAACAAUCCCAUGAUGUUUAGGGCACUCUGCAAAACUUAACUACCAAAUAAAAACAAUUUUCCCCAAAUUCUACAAGAGUAUUAAAUUUUAAGACAAUGUUCAUAAGGUUUAGCCCAAGAUUGUUUUGGGCCCUCAGAUUACAGAAUACAUGUAAUAAGUACAAUUUGAGAUCAAUUUGAUAUGUUGUAUAUUCUAUUUUGUCCUUUUCAAAAUAUAUCUUGUUAUUAAUUCAGGAGAAAAUGAAGCAGUGCUCUUCAGAAUAGAACAAAAGGAUUGUAGAUUUAGCUGAUGUACCAACAAAGUAGAUAUGAAUGGUAAAAAUGGGAUGAAUCAAAACAAAUCAAUUGCUUAUCUCCCAACAUUUAGAAAUGGAAUCAUAUUUGGACGUUCAUAUGAUUUCAUCUUUUAUCACUUAUAAAAGGUAGAUAUUGGGUUAAGAUGCAUACUAUUAUUUUAAAGUUAACCUGCAAGAGAAUCAAAUAUAUGAACAAUGGUCGUUAAAAGAAACUUAAAAUAAUGUAAAUAAACCACUUGAAAAUUUUGUUUGUUUUAAUUUUUGUGUCAUAUGGGGUAUCAUAUUCAUGUGAUUACAUUGAUCACGUGUAAAAUGAUGUAAAAGAAAGGUUAAUCAAAAUCCUCAGAGUAAGGAGUAUGUAACAUUUGGUUAAUACACAACUUGUUUACUAAGAAAUGUUACAAAUCUGAGCAAAGACAUUGGACGAUAACAGGAAUGGAACGUUAGGCCUUGGCUUUGGUUCUGAUCCGUUAUUAUUUUAUUGCAACAGUUUUGUUUUAUCCCAACAGUUUUGGAAAGUCGUUGACAUUAUCUAAUGGCUUCUAUUCAAUAAAGGAUUUGUGAUGGCA